GCGGCUGUAGCUCAGCUGGAUAGAGUACUCGGCUACGAACCGAGCGGUCGGAGGUUCGAAUCCUCCCAGCCGCGCCA
RNAcentral lists this transfer RNA (77 nucleotides) under Marinobacter sp. RNAcentral's name for it is "tRNA-Arg". It matches the Rfam family "tRNA". Rfam says of the family: Transfer RNA (tRNA) molecules are approximately 80 nucleotides in length. RNAcentral also lists the same sequence under 20 other names. Lineage: Bacteria; Pseudomonadati; Pseudomonadota; Gammaproteobacteria; Pseudomonadales; Marinobacteraceae. The record is from RNAcentral.